UUUUCUAGACCCCUCAAUCCCCAGUCGACUUCUCUGUGCGAGGUCCAAGGGUCAGUGUCAGUGUAAGCGAUGAGAGUGGAGAAUGUGAGAGUCCUAAAUGUGGGCCUGCAGUAAAGGGAGAUGUGUUCCCAUCAUUCCAUGAGAAACUCUGAAGGAAGAUUCCUUGGGAGCACUGGCACACUUGGAGAUACUGUGCUAUUGGAGAGUUGUGAACUCUUCACGGGCAAAGAUGGGAUCUGAUUGUCAUUCAAAACGCAGUGCCUAAUUCAAUGCCUGGCACAUUGUCCGGUGAAUGAACUUAUUAACCCACAACAAAAUGUAACUGCAGGAGAGACCAGAAUAUUCUUGGCCAUU
RNAcentral lists this long non-coding RNA (354 nucleotides) under Homo sapiens (human). Its description in RNAcentral is "HSALNT0113125". The record is from RNAcentral. Lineage: Eukaryota; Metazoa; Chordata; Mammalia; Primates; Hominidae.